This is a long non-coding RNA of Scylla paramamosain (green mud crab), 703 nucleotides long. RefSeq lists it as uncharacterized. The transcript has 4 exons. Lineage: Eukaryota; Metazoa; Arthropoda; Malacostraca; Decapoda; Portunidae. The record is from RefSeq and is a predicted model, not a curated record.
CACGCUAGAGAGAGUCAGCUGAAUGAGCUGAUUACUGAAUCUCUUGUUGCCAGAAUAAGAACAGUAUAGUGUUUGUCUGUCUCCUAGACUACCUCAAGCCUCUUACGGUGACAGCCCUACGAGACGCCGACUACAUCUCAACCUACAUGGCGCAGUGAGCAACCUACAUACCUUCCUUGGACAAAAUCAGGUGAGCUGAGGCUUUGGCAAGGAGCUGCUGUGGGUGCCGGACUCCACCUCCCUCCUAUCUCCGCAAAUGAGGAGUUGUGAGGCGCAGCGGUGCGUCCUGAGGCUGCUGUAAGCUAAUGGCCUGGUGCUUGGCCUGCUAGCCUCAGAUGGACGCCACUUAGCGGGAGAAGUGAUGGCCUCGAGAAAGCUGAGAUAACUGUGAAUUGCAUCGUAUCACUUGUAUAAUGGAACUUGACAUCCCUUUGUGAAACGUGACGCCUGCCUCUCAAUUACCUCUAGUUCAUCGUACCUGUGGAUUAAUUAACAUACCUGUGGACUCACCUGGAAAAUUGAGUGGUUGUCAUUUGGAUGCGUUUUAUUGUAGUUCUUAAUCCAUUAUUCUUUGUUUCCGUGAGCUGUUUCUGUUUUGGUUUGAAGUUUGCAUCUUUCUAUCAUUUAUUUAUUUAUUUAUUUUAUUUUUUACCGCUUUCAGUUACGUGUUCUUUUAUUUGUUUAUAUAGUUUGUCUGUCUGUG